AUGCGUGCGUUCACGCGCAAGCCCCCCCCCCAGGAAUCCUGUGUACACGGCCAAGAUGACCACGCCGCUCGCAGCCCCGUCCGGGCCAUCCUCAUUACCGUCCUCGCCUUAGAGUUCAGCAUCGGAACUAAAACCUGCUGCUCUGAAGGUGCCAGCAUCAGUGAGGGAAUUUAUCAAUGGUGGGUUCAGUACAAUAUCUGCUACUAUGUUAUUUGCAGCCAGAGAAGAUAUAUGUUCAUGCCAUUUUCUUAA
RNAcentral lists this ribosomal RNA (252 nucleotides) under Triticum aestivum (bread wheat). Its description in RNAcentral is "partial small subunit ribosomal RNA". Lineage: Eukaryota; Viridiplantae; Streptophyta; Magnoliopsida; Poales; Poaceae. The record is from RNAcentral.